RNAcentral lists this unclassified non-coding RNA (200 nucleotides) under Pleosporales sp. RNAcentral describes it as "partial internal transcribed spacer 2". The record is from RNAcentral. Lineage: Eukaryota; Fungi; Ascomycota; Dothideomycetes; Pleosporales.
UUAAGUUCAGCGGGUAUCCCUACCUGAUUCGAGGUCAAAAUGAGGGGUGACUUGAUGGACGCGAGCCCGCCGAAGACCUUCCUGAGCGCAAAGUGCUGCGCGAGAAGCCGGCGGAGCCGCUGCCAAUGGAUUUGGGGCGAGUCCACGCCCGAAAGCGCGGACAGACGCCCAACACCAAGCGUGAGCUUGAAGGGUUAAAU